Ictalurus furcatus (blue catfish) is the source of this 5114-nucleotide long non-coding RNA. RefSeq lists it as uncharacterized. The record is from RefSeq and is a predicted model, not a curated record. The transcript is spliced from 4 exons. Lineage: Eukaryota; Metazoa; Chordata; Actinopteri; Siluriformes; Ictaluridae.
CCCCGUUACUCGCUCUGAACCGAAACUAGAUGUAGAGGGAGAAGUUUGAACUCCGAGUGGAGUAGAAGUAAAGAGAGUUUUUAACCUUCACACGUGCUGAUGAUGGUGUUGUGCCUCAGACAUGGAGUCCUGCAGGGUUCCUCACCAUGUCCUGCUUUUAUUCAUCUUCAUGUUCAUCACAGUAUCUGUAUCAGCUCUCACUACUGCACAGGUGAAGUUUAAUCAGACUGCUGAUCUGCCCUGUCUAUGGAAUUGUCAUGGUUUGGUUAUAUGGAAUGUGAUCAGUAACCGAGAUGAUGUAGUGGCUUGGUGUGAUCAGACAUCCUGCAGGUCAUUAAUGGAGGGAUUUAAAAUGUCCCAUGAUCAGUACCUGAAGGGAGAUCUCACCCUCACCAUCACUGCAGCUGAUUACAGUAAGAGGGGUUUAUACACGUGUGAAGGGUGGGGGAAUAGCGAUGUUUGUGAAUGAGAGAUGGUGUAACCCUGGACAUAUCAGGGUUAAAGAGCAACGGUGCAUUAAGGAUAUUGAGUUGCUAGCGGUUAGCAUGCGGCCAUAUUACUUGCCGAGGGAGUUCUUGCACGUCAUCGCGAUGACUGUCUACAGCCCCCCUCGGCUGACUCUACUGCGGCAUGUGAGCUACUUCACACUGUUGUGUCUCAGCUGCAGACAUUGCACCCACAGUCCCUCCUCAUCUCCGGGGACUUUAAUCAUGCUUCCCUGUCUUCAACUCUCCCCACCUUCACACAGUAUGUUAAAUGCCCCACUAGGGGCAAUAAAACAUUGGAUCUGCUGUAUGCAAACACAAAAGAUGCAUACAGUUCUUCACCCCCUCCCCCGCUUGGCUGCUCGGAUCACAACCAUCUGAUCCAUCUGCUGUCUGUCUACAUACCUCUGGUGAAUAAACAACCUCCAAUCACAAGGUAUGUGAGAAAAUGGCCUGAGGAAACCAGUGAGGCACUGAGAGACUGGAUUGAAUCUACAGACUGGGAAAUGCUCUGUAGUUCACACGGACAGGACACUGACAGUCUCACCCACUGUGUAAUGGACUACAUUCAUUUCUAUGUGGAGAACACUGUCUGUGAAGAAGGUUUGGUGUUUUUCCAACAACAAACCCUGGGUGACUCCAGAGCUCAAAGCCCUGUUAAAACAAAAAAAAAAAAAAGAGACUGUUCGUAUUGGGGGACAAAGAUGAGCUGAGGAGGGUUCAAAAACAGCUCAGAGGGGAGAUAAGGAAAGGAAAAGACAGCUACAGAAAAAAGUUGGAGGAGCGUCUUCAACAGAACAACAUGAGGGAGGUCUGGAGGGGACUGAAAACAAUUUCAGGUCAGAACAAAGACAAUGGGAGGGGACUUGUAUCCGGUGACGGGGCAAAUGAAUUCAAUCUGUUUUUUAAUAGAUUUGAAUCGGCUCCAUCUCCUCCCCACUCCGACCAGACCUCAGACCUGUCAGUGACUCAGCCUUUCCCUCUUGGGCCAUUAGGCACCCCCAACUCCUUCCGCAGGGCUCCAGGAAUAUCGGCAUCAUCCAACUCACACCUCAGAGCUUCUGUGAUAUCAUCAUUACACAGCUCACACCUCUCCACUGCUCACCAUCCCUCACUCAAGGAGGUUUCACACCCCUCCCCCAUACCGCUCAUCAGGGAUCACCAAUAACUCCCCCCUGCAGUCUCUCUCUGACACUCAAUCAGGGGAAUAAGGAGCUAAAGAAGAUCAAGAGGGCUAGCUCUGUCCUGGUCUACCCUCUGGACAGCAUAGAGGUGCUGGGGGAGAGGAGGAUGUUAGCUAAGAUGGCAUCUAUCAUGAGCAAUUCCUCUCACCUAGCAACCAGAGUGAGAUGCGCGAAUGUCACGACCUUGAUGAGGGGGCGCGCGCAUGCACGAGCUGUGGACGUGUGCAUUUGUUUUGUUUCUGUCACGUCGCGAGACGUAAGGAAGUAGAGUACAGAAGCAGAUAAAGACAUAUUUAUUUAAGGGCAGGCAGAAAAAUCCUAUAUCUACUCGACGAGGUGUACAGGGACGCGAGCGGUAUAUAUCCCCAAUAUAAUCAGCCCUAUAGAACCCAAUAGAACCAUUUUCUGCACUCGUCAAUGUACUUUUUAAUGCUCUUUUUAGUUGUAGGCUACAGAGUGUUCCAUUCUUUCAGCAGUCAGUUACAGGACUAACAUCGGCUAUUCAAGGGCUCAAAGAUGACCACAUCACAAUAUUUUUAUUUUACUCAUUUAUUUAUUUAAAGUUAUAUUGUGCCUUGUUGGUAGCCUGUGCCUGCUGAAUGAAAAAAAUGUUCAGUGUUAAAUAAAUAUUUUGAAAUUGUAGUUUUUGUAAUUGAUUUUUUUCUUUGAAAAGCAAGACAAAAUAGUAAAAAGCACAUUUUGACUAUUUAAUUUAUGCAAUGGUGAAAAAAAUGGCAAAAUAAAUGGAAAAAACGCGGAAAAAACGUGCUCGUAUUCGGCCUUCGGCUUUUGGACAAGUUUUUCUUUAUAUUCGGUAUCGGCUUCGGCCAAGAAUUUUCAUUUCGGUGCAUCCCAUAUAUAUAUAUAUAUAUAUAUAUAUAUAUAUAUUAUAUACUUUUGUUGCUAGUGGUUUAGACAUUAAUGUCUGUGUGUUGAGUUAUUUUGAGGGGACAGCAAAUUUACACUGUUACACAAGCUGUACACACACUACUUUACAUUGUAGCAAAGUGUCAUUUCUUCAGUGUUGUCACAUGAAAAGAUAUCAUCAAAUAUUUACAGAAAUGUGAGGGGUGUACUCGUAGGAAGUUGGCGCAUUCAUGUUGAUUCUUUUUUUCUCCUGGUUUUGGGUUAGCUAGGGAGUGAGGGAAUCUGAGAUGUAUUUUUCUUUUGUUUUCUUUUAGGAUUGUUAAUUUUUUUGUGUACAGUUAGAGGGAAAUUUUAUUUAUUAUUUUGGCUUGGCCGGCUUUUGACGUUUAAACCACUAUGUAUAUAAAAAAGGUGAGCAUAAAAAACAAAGCGAAUGCAAUCCUUGUCUCGCCAACCCUUUAUUUUAUUGUAUGUUGCGGCCCGACCUAGACCGGGUUGUAACAGGUGGUAUAAGGAUCCCUGCAUGUUUCUGUCUUUUCAAAACAAUGUGAAUACAUUUACAUUAUUAAAUUUUCAUUCCAGUUCUGUUUGACUCUCUCUUAAAUUAAAUCUAACUCCAAUUGUAAAAACCUCAAUGUUGUAUUUAAUUCCUAGUUAUUUGUAGAUCAUGUAUUUUUAAUCUUUUACAUUUAGUUAAUUCUAGUUUACUCCAUACUCGUGCUCGUUCAUUCGGAUUCCGUGUCGCUCAGAGUCUCGCGCCAGCUGUGUAAGCGGAUCUCACGGUCACAAACUCGCCAGUCUUGAUCAUUAGCCAGAGGUAAUUGACUAAUACAAUUCAGAUGGCUGCCCCACGCUUGCCCUUUUAUCUUAAAGUAAUUUUAGUCCCCUUAGAUAGUAACACUUAAUUAUAGUAAAGUUAUUUCUAGCCAGAGGUCAUGACCAUUAAAUUGUACAGCAAUAGACCAAUAAUAUCUGAGUAAAAUUAGCUAUAUAUAAUCAUGCUAUAGUUUCCUAUGUACACUUAACUAGAAGAAAAUUCCAAAAACCAGAGGUUUACACUUUCACCGUAUUUAGACUUGGUCGAUCAACUUUAUAUUGUCCUAAACGGAAAUUUCAUAUCGAGCCGGUACACUGUAAGUACACUUAGCUUAACAAGUUGUUAGGCUGGACUCUAAAAUCUCAGUUGGUGUGCCCCAAUGCUCCACCUAAACCUGGAUUUUAGCCUGUACUAACCUGGUCGCAGAUUUACAGUAACAGGGACUUAACGUAAUCUACUAGAGACAAUAAUUUCAGAAUAAUUCAGAUUAUAAUCAAGUCUAAUAAUUUAUUUAACCAGGUAGGAACACAUCCAAAUCCAAUAGUACUAACAAUAAUAAGAAGAAAGAAUUACAUUCAGCAUUACUCAACAUUACCAAUCAAAUUCAAGACAUAAUAAUACAACAUGAGAGACAACACUUACAUACCUGGUAGAGAAAAACUACACAUUAAUUGUGCUGGAGAUCUGUUUACAGAUUCCCUGAAUCUUUGCCCAGCUCUCCCCUAAAUACCCAGAUGCUCUGUAAGGUUCACCAAAUGGUGUUGUUCGUGCUUUGAUGACUGUGGAAAGAUGUACCUUAUUUACAUACAGGAAGUAGGGUAUGCCUUUAAAGACUUGCAAUAUUUUCCUCCAGAUCUUGAUAGUGAUUUGAACUGCUGUUGAGGGAAUGAGACCACAUCUUCCAGAUGCGCUGAGACCUUUUGAAUGAUGGUAAACAUGUAUAGUCAACAUCUUAUUCUCAUUAAACAUGUUAUGUAAUGCAUAUAGACCUUGGGUGUGUUAAAGGUGAUCUAGACACAGACAGAAAAGGGUGAGAGGAGGAAGGAAAUAAUGUAGUGAGGAUCCUGUACCCCUGUACCUGCCUCUGCCAGCGCAGGUAUCUACAGCACUACACCAGAAUCCACUGUGCAAGCAAGGAUUGUGUGUGUGUGUGUGUGUGUGUGUGUGUGUGUGUGUGUGUGUGUGUGUGUGUCAGAGUCAUGUCUCUACUCUCCAUGUCAUUCUUUGUUCUUAAUCUUUCCCACUGAAGUUAUUGUGAUUAGGUACCUGGUUAAUUCCUCACCUGUUCUCACCUGUGCAGUGCUGUUGGUGGUGUUUUGUCUCAGACAUGGAGUCCUGCAGGGUUCCUCACCAUGUCCUGCUUUUAUUCAUCUUCAUGUUCAUCACAGGAUUUUCUGGUAGAGAGCAGCAGAGCUGCAGACCCUGAAGCAGCAGAGCAUCCCCACACCAUCACACUUCCUCCACCAUGCUUAACUGUAGGUAUGAUGUUCUUUUUGUGGAAUUCUGUGUUUGGUUUAUGCCAGAUGUAACGGGACUCCUGUCUUCCAAACAGUUCCACUUUCGACUCGUCAGUCCACAGAACAUCCUCCCAAAAGGUUUGAGGAUCAUCAAGGUGUGUUUUGGCAAAAUUCAGACGAGCCUUAAUGUUCUUCCGGGUUAGCAGUGGUUUUCACCUCACCACUCUUCCAUGGAGCCGUUUUCCCCCAGUGUCUUUCUGAUAGUGGAGUCAUGAACACUGACCUUUACUGAUGCAAGAGAGGC